UACGUAGGGCGCAAGCGUUAUCCGGAAUUAUUGGGCGUAAAGAGCUCGUAGGCGGUUUGUCGCGUCUGCCGUGAAAGUCCGGGGCUCAACUCCGGAUCUGCGGUGGGUACGGGCAGACUAGAGUGAUGUAGGGGAGACUGGAAUUCCUGGUGUAGCGGUGAAAUGCGCAGAUAUCAGGAGGAACACCGAUGGCGAAGGCAGCCCCCUGGCUA
RNAcentral lists this ribosomal RNA (212 nucleotides) under uncultured bacterium. RNAcentral describes it as "partial 16S ribosomal RNA". It matches the Rfam family "Bacterial small subunit ribosomal RNA", at positions 524 to 735 of the family's 1533-position model. The record is from RNAcentral.